This 446-nucleotide ribosomal RNA is filed under the name uncultured bacterium. Its description in RNAcentral is "partial 16S ribosomal RNA". It matches the Rfam family "Bacterial small subunit ribosomal RNA", at positions 29 to 523 of the family's 1533-position model. The record is from RNAcentral.
AACGAACGCUGGCGGCAGGCUUAACACAUGCAAGUCGAACGCCCCGCAAGGGGAGUGGCAGACGGGUGAGUAACGCGUGGGAAUCUACCCUGAUCUGCGGGAUAGCUCCGGGAAACUGGAAUGAAUACCGCAUAUGUCCUGAGGGACAAAGAUUGAUCGGUUCAGGAUGAGCCCGCGUCCGAUUAGCUAGUUGGUGGGGUAAAGGCCUACCAGGCGACGAUCGGUAGCUGGUCUAAGAGGAUGAUCAGCCACAUUGGGACUGAGACACGGCCCAAACUCCUACGGGAGGCAGCAGUGGGGAAUAUUGGACAAUGGGCGCAAGCCUGAUCCAGCCAUGCCGCGUGAGUGAUGAAGGUCUUAGGAUUGUAAAGCUCUUUCACCGGGGACGAUAAUGACGGUACCCGGAGAAGAAGCCCCGGCUAACUUCGUGCCAGCCGCCGCGGUAA